This 497-nucleotide ribosomal RNA is filed under the name uncultured bacterium. RNAcentral's name for it is "partial 16S ribosomal RNA". It matches the Rfam family "Bacterial small subunit ribosomal RNA", at positions 28 to 507 of the family's 1533-position model. The record is from RNAcentral.
GAUGAACGCUGGCGGCGUGCCUAAUACAUGCAAGUCGAGCGAACAGACGAGGAGCUUGCUCCUCUGACGUUAGCGGCGGACGGGUGAGUAACACGUGGAUAACCUACCUAUAAGACUGGGAUAACUUCGGGAAACCGGAGCUAAUUCCGGAUAAUAUAUUGAACCGCAUGGUUCAAUAGUGCAAGACGGUUUUCCUGUCACUUAUAGAUGGAUCCGCGCCGCAUUAGCUAGUUGGUAAGGUAACGGCUUACCAAGGCAACGAUGCGUAGCCGACCUGAGAGGGUGAUCGGCCACACUGGAACUGAGACACGGUCCAGACUCCUACGGGAGGCAGCAGUAGGGAAUCUUCCGCAAUGGGCGAAAGCCUGACGGAGCAACGCCGCGUGAGUGAUGAAGGUCUUCGGAUCGUAAAACUCUGUUAUUAGGGAAGAACAAAUGUGUAAGUAACUAUGCACGUCUUGACGGUACCUAAACAGAAAGCCACGGCUAACUACGUG